This 253-nucleotide ribosomal RNA is filed under the name uncultured bacterium. RNAcentral describes it as "partial 16S ribosomal RNA". It matches the Rfam family "Bacterial small subunit ribosomal RNA", at positions 524 to 776 of the family's 1533-position model. The record is from RNAcentral.
UACGGAGGGGGCUAGCGUUGUUCGGAAUUACUGGGCGUAAAGCGCACGUAGGCGGCUUUGCAAGUUAGAGGUGAAAGCCCGGGGCUCAACUCCGGAAUUGCCUUUAAAACUGCAUCGCUAGAAUUGUGGAGAGGUAAGUGGAAUUCCGAGUGUAGAGGUGAAAUUCGUAGAUAUUCGGAAGAACACCAGUGGCGAAGGCGACUUACUGGACACAUAUUGACGCUGAGGUGCGAAAGCGUGGGGAGCAACAGGG